This is a long non-coding RNA of Carassius gibelio (silver crucian carp), 1618 nucleotides long. RefSeq lists it as uncharacterized. NCBI's taxonomy places the organism in Eukaryota, Metazoa, Chordata, Actinopteri, Cypriniformes, Cyprinidae. The record is from RefSeq and is a predicted model, not a curated record. The transcript has 4 exons.
UGAGCUCAUUAGUGGUCUUCCGGUGACAUCUAGUGGUUAUAAUUGCAAUUUUUUAUUCAACACUGGGUUUUGAAGCUUUAUAAAUAUUACAGUGUUCUUUUUUACCUAAUCUCUGUUAAAUUUUGCAUGAUUGUUUAGAAAAAAUACAGAUCUAAUGCAUGUGUGAUUAUAUUACCCCUUUUUUUUGCAGUUUAAUGCCAUUCACAACAGAAAUCUUUUGUUUUUUAGGCCAUUUUAACUGUUAUAGCACCAGCUAUUUUCUGAUCUUAAUGAAACUUUGCAUGCUUGGUGGGUCAUCUUUCACAUGUUAUAACCAAGUUUCAUAAAGUUUUGAGUUUUUGUUUCAGUUUUAUAGGCUUUAGGUUACAUGUGGCCACGGCCCUUUCCUAAAUGACCUCUUAUAGCUAACCAAAGGACAAAAUGCAACAUAUUUUUGAAAAUUAUUGAUCUAGAGAGUCCACAGAAUAUUAUUGCAGUGGUUUGAUCAAGACUGAACAAAAAACCAGGUGACCCAAAACAUUCAAAUUCGUGGACCAAUUUUACGAAAAAGGCUAUAACUCGGGAACAAAAUGAGAUAUCUUCACCAAACUCAGAACUCAUAUGCAUGAACAAAAACUUUAGUCAAAUUAUUAUUUUUUUUUCCAUAUCUGCCACUUGGUGGCGCUACAGGAUGAAAAAAAAAUCAAAUGGCUAUAACUAAGCAACCGUUGAUCCAAUCAACUUGAAAAUUGAUAUGGCCCAAUGUGGCACAAGUGCUCUAUGAGGAAUUUCACUUAUCUUAAAAAACAUGGCCGCCAUUGGCCAAACAACUUUAAGCACCUAUUUGACAAGGUUAAUGGAAGUCGAUCGGAACGAAACUCGGUGGGCAUGUUCGACUCAUUGCCCUAAAGGUCUGUAAGUAUUUUGAAAGAAAUUGCCCACAACAUUGUCACCUCCCACAGAACACAACAGAGCGAUUUGAUUACAGCGCCACCUAUUUUCCAAAAAUAAUAAUGCAUCAUUUUACUGGAGUUUUACUGGCUGUUUCAAUUACACUCUUCCAAUAAUUGCUUUUCUUACUCGUUGCAUUUGGUCUGAUGCUCCAUGCCAUGCUUAGCUCCUCGCUGUGGAACUUUUAUUAACGAUUUUCAGCCAUUUCAAUUACAAUCAUGCAAUUAUUAAUUUCAUUAUUCAUUGUUGCAUUUGGUCUGCUUAGCUCCUGAUGUUGCCGCUGGAAUGCUUGGCCCCGUGAUUGCUGCUUGCAGCUAUAUUUAGGGGCCAAGCACCGAAGGUGCGAAGGCACCUAUUGUGUUUGUUGGCGUUAUUAGGGGCCAAGCACCGAAGGUGCGUAGGCACCUAUUGUUUUCGUUGGCGUUAUUAUUAGGGGCCAAGCACCGAAGGUGCGUAGGCACCUAUUGUUUCCGUUGGCGUUAUUAGGGGCCAAGCACCGAAGGUGCGUAGGCACCUAUUGUUUUCGUUGGCGUUAUUAUUAGGGGCCAAGCACCGAAGGUGCGUAGGCACCUAUUGUUUUCGUUGGCGUUAUUAUUAUUAUUCUUCUUCUUCUUCCGCCGCAAGUCUAUGGCAGCCCAUAGAACCGUUUGCGGGAAAGUUGUAUAAUUUGGCACAUUGAUAGAGGACA